This 106-nucleotide non-coding RNA is filed under the name Paraburkholderia unamae. RNAcentral's name for it is "SAH_riboswitch". It matches the Rfam family "SAH (S-adenosyl-L-homocysteine) riboswitch aptamer". Lineage: Bacteria; Pseudomonadati; Pseudomonadota; Betaproteobacteria; Burkholderiales; Burkholderiaceae. The record is from RNAcentral.
GUCUUCGAGGAGCGUUGCGACGGGUUUUCUGUAAUCCGCCAGGCUCGAAGGUGCUCAAUACGGCGGACUCCCUGAAUCCGCCGCACUGAAACGGCGCUCACGUCUU